This 225-nucleotide ribosomal RNA is filed under the name Enterobacter hormaechei. Its description in RNAcentral is "partial 23S ribosomal RNA". It matches the Rfam family "Bacterial large subunit ribosomal RNA", at positions 2126 to 2350 of the family's 2925-position model. The record is from RNAcentral. Lineage: Bacteria; Pseudomonadati; Pseudomonadota; Gammaproteobacteria; Enterobacterales; Enterobacteriaceae.
GGUCCUUGAUGUGUAGGAUAGGUGGGAGGCUUUGAAGCGUGGACGCCAGUCUGCGUGGAGCCAACCUUGAAAUACCACCCUUUAAUGGCUGGUGUUCUAACGUAGACCCGUAAUCCGGGUUGCGGACAGUGUCUGGUGGGUAGUUUGACUGGGGCGGUCUCCUCCCAAAGAGUAACGGAGGAGCACGAAGGUUGGCUAAUCCUGGUCGGACAUCAGGAGGUUAGU